UGAAGACACAGAGUGUGCAGCCUUUCACAGUCCAUGCAUAUCUUUCACAAAUAUAUAUAUAUUUUAACUUAAUGAUUCAACUCAAGUUAUAACCGAAAACAUGCGCAUUGAAAAAAUAAACUUGACAUGGACUCUGAUUCCACUGUUUCUGGCAGGUGUUUUCUGCAAUACAUGUAAAGUGAUAUAUCAGCAGCAGCGUAUCUGUUCAGUGAAAGGCUCUUCCGUUAUCAUCCCUUGCUCCUUUUACUAUCCUGAACACCUGAGAGUGAAGGGAUUCUGGUGGGGUCAUGUCAAGACUAAUCAUUCCAAAGGAACUUUCAUAUAUGGCAGGAACUUUAAAACAGUCCCCAUGAGGUUCAAUUAUAUUGGUGACAAUCGACACAAUUGUUCUUUGAAAAUACACCCAGUGAAGGAAAAUGAUGCAGGACAAUAUAUCUUCAUGUUUACAACUGACUCCAAAAGCUUCAAAUCGACUGGUACACUUGGUUCAACAUUAAAGGUUGUUGAUUUGAACGUCUCGGUGACAAAUCCUGAUGGAAACAGAACAAUGCAGGGCGACUCUUUGAAUCUCACCUGCAAGAACAGCUGUGACGGCGGUAACCUUUCAUCUGCCUUCACUUGGUUGAAGAACGGAGAAAACAUAAAUGAUGGAUCUAUUCUUUAUCUAAGCAACGUGACUUCCAAAAACUCUGGAAAAUACACUUGUUCUCUAAAAACACACGCAGGAGCCACUUCAGAAGCCAUACAUAUUGAUG
Eleginops maclovinus (Patagonian blennie) is the source of this 755-nucleotide long non-coding RNA. RefSeq lists it as uncharacterized. The record is from RefSeq and is a predicted model, not a curated record. The transcript has 3 exons. NCBI's taxonomy places the organism in Eukaryota, Metazoa, Chordata, Actinopteri, Perciformes, Eleginopidae.